This 425-nucleotide ribosomal RNA is filed under the name uncultured bacterium. Its description in RNAcentral is "partial 16S ribosomal RNA". It matches the Rfam family "Bacterial small subunit ribosomal RNA", at positions 354 to 796 of the family's 1533-position model. The record is from RNAcentral.
GUUAGGAAUAUUGGACAAUGGGCGCAAGCCUGAUCCAGCCAUGCCGCGUGAGUGAUGAAGGCCUUCGGGUUGUAAAGCUCUUUAGCCGAUGAUUAUAAUGACUGUAGUCGGAAAAUAAGCCCCGGCUAACUUCGUGCCAGCAGCCGCGGUAAUACGAAGGGGGCGAGCGUUAUUCUGAAUCACUGGGCGUAAAGCGUGCGUAGGCGGCUUUGCAAGUAGGGAGUGAAAGCCCAGGGCUCAACCCUGGAAUUGCUCUCAAAACUGCAAGGCUCGAAUUCGGGAGAGGAUAGCGGAAUUGUCAGUGUAGCAGUGAAAUGCGUAGAUAUUGACAGGAACACCAGUGGCGUAAGCGGCUAUCUGGACCGAUAUUGACGCUGAGGCACGAAAGCGUGGGGAUCAAACAGGAUUAGAAACCCCAGUAGUCC